RNAcentral lists this ribosomal RNA (502 nucleotides) under uncultured bacterium. RNAcentral's name for it is "bacterial SSU rRNA". It matches the Rfam family "Bacterial small subunit ribosomal RNA", at positions 28 to 526 of the family's 1533-position model. The record is from RNAcentral.
GACGAACGCUGGCGGCGCGCCUAACACAUGCAAGUCGAACGGAGCGCAUAGAAAGAAUUCCUUCGGGGACGAUUUUUGUGUUGCUUAGUGGCGAACGGGUGAGUAACACGUGAGCAACCUACCUUUCAGUGGGGGACAACAUUUGGAAACAGAUGCUAAUACCGCAUAAGACCACAGCCGGACAUCCGGCAGUGGCCAAAGGAUUUAUUCGCUGAAAGAUGGGCUCGCGUCUGAUUAGCUAGAUGGUGGGGUAAUGGCCUACCAUGGCGACGAUCAGUAGCCGGACUGAGAGGUUGAACGGCCACAUUGGGACUGAGACACGGCCCAGACUCCUACGGGAGGCAGCAGUGGGGAAUAUUGCACAAUGGACGAAAGUCUGAUGCAGCGACGCCGCGUGGAGGAAGAAGGUUUUCGGAUUGUAAACUCCUGUCUUCGGGGACGAUAAUGACGGUACCCGAGGAGGAAGCCACGGCUAACUACGUGCCAGCAGCCGCAGUAAAAC